This 696-nucleotide long non-coding RNA is filed under the name Octopus vulgaris (common octopus). The record is from RNAcentral. Lineage: Eukaryota; Metazoa; Mollusca; Cephalopoda; Octopoda; Octopodidae.
UAUAAGCAUGGAAUUGAGCUUUUGGCACAACAAUGGCAACAGACAAUCGGACAUGAUGAGAGGCACUUUACAUCUGAAUGAAUAUACGUUUUUUGUAUGUAAUUUGUUUGCACUAUUAAUUAAAGCUUGAAAUAUGAAAAAUCUUUUGCUUCAACCUGGUGUAUGUAUGUAUACAUGUGCUUUUCAUGUAUGAAUAUGUUUGAGUGUCUGCUCUGCUCAUUUAUAUAAAUAUAUUCGUUUGUGUAGCUAGGUAUUUAUUCCCUUAUUUAUAUCUAUCCCUCAUUCUCUCUCUAUAUACGUAUACAUCUGAAUUUGCAAGUAUGUGUGUGUGCAUGCAUGCAUGUGUGUGUAUGUGCAUGUCUCUAUGUAUAUACAUUUAUGCAUAUUAUGAAUAUGUGCAUAUCUCAUUGUGUAUGUGUGUGUGUGUAUGAAUAUUUAUAUGGGUAUAUUUAUGCAUAUAUGUAUGUAUGUGUAUAUUCUUUUAUUCUUUUACUCAUUUCAGUCAUUUGACUGCGGCCAUGUUGGAGCACUGCCUUUUAUUCGAGGAAAUCAACCCCUGGACAUAUUCUUUGUAAGCCUAUUCUAUCAGUCGAUUUUGCCAAACUGCUAAGUUAUGAGGAUAUAAACACACCAACAUCAGUUGUCAAGUGAUGGUGGGGGAACAAACACAGACACAAACACACAAAUACACACACA